RNAcentral lists this transfer RNA (74 nucleotides) under Terriglobia bacterium. RNAcentral's name for it is "tRNA-Ile". It matches the Rfam family "tRNA". Rfam says of the family: Transfer RNA (tRNA) molecules are approximately 80 nucleotides in length. Their secondary structure includes four short double-helical elements and three loops (D, anti-codon, and T loops). Lineage: Bacteria; Pseudomonadati; Acidobacteriota; Terriglobia. The record is from RNAcentral.
UUCCGCGUCGUUCAACGGCAGGACGGGGUUCUUAUAAAGCCCUCACGAUGGUUCGACUCCAUCCGCGGGAACCA